AGAAUCAACGCUGGCGGCGUGCCUAACACAUGCAAGUCGCACGAGAAAGGGACUUCGGUCCUGAGUAAAGUGGCGCACGGGUGAGUAACACGUGAAUUAUCUACCUCCGAGUGGGGAAUAACUGAGAGAAAUCUUAGCUAAUACCGCAUAACACUUACGAGUCAAAGCAGUAAUGCGCUUGGAGAGGAGUUCGCGGCCGAUUAGUUAGUUGGCGGGGUAAUGGCCCACCAAGACGAUGAUCGGUA
This 245-nucleotide ribosomal RNA is filed under the name uncultured bacterium. RNAcentral describes it as "partial small subunit ribosomal RNA". It matches the Rfam family "Bacterial small subunit ribosomal RNA", at positions 26 to 285 of the family's 1533-position model. The record is from RNAcentral.